This 473-nucleotide ribosomal RNA is filed under the name uncultured bacterium. RNAcentral's name for it is "SSU rRNA". It matches the Rfam family "Bacterial small subunit ribosomal RNA", at positions 26 to 518 of the family's 1533-position model. The record is from RNAcentral.
AGGAUAAACGCUGGCGGCGUGCCUAAUGCAUGCAAGUCGCACGGAGUGUCUCUUCGGAGGCAUUGAGUGGCGAACGGGUGAGGAACGCGUGGACAACCUACCCCGGCGUGGGGGAUACCCGCCAGAAAUGGCGGCUAAUACCGCGUACGGUCGUCGAACGAAGGGUUUGACGAAGAAAGCAGUAAUGCGCGCUGGGAGGGGUCUGCGGCCGAUUAGCUUGUUGGCGGGGUAAUGGCUCACCAAGGCGAUGAUCGGUAGCUGGUCUGAGAGGAUGAUCAGCCACACGGGGACUGAGAGACGGCCCCGACUCCUACGGGAGGCAGCAGCAAGGAAUUUUCCGCAAUGGGGGCAACCCUGACGGAGCAACGCCGCGUGACGGAUGACGCCUCUUGGGGUGUAAACGUCUUUUGCCGAGGGAGAGAAUGGACGGUACUCGGCGAAUAAGGACCGGCUAACUACGUGCCAGCAGCCGC